AGCAGUAGCGCGGGAAAACGGAGGGUGCAAGCGUUAAUCGGAAUUACUGGGCGUAAAGCGCACGCAGGCGGUCUGACAAGUCAGAUGUGAAAUCCCCGGGCUUAACCUGGGAACUGCAUUUGAAACUGUCAGGCUGGAGUCUUGUAGAGGGGGGUGGAAUUCCAGGUGUAGCGGUGAAAUGCGUAGAGAUCUGGAGGAAUACCGGUGGCGAAGGCGGCCCCCUGGACAAAGACUGACGCUCAGGUGCGAAAGCGUGGGGAGCAAACAGGAUUAGAUACCCCGGUAGUCCCUGUCUCUUAUACA
This 303-nucleotide ribosomal RNA is filed under the name uncultured bacterium. Its description in RNAcentral is "partial 16S ribosomal RNA". It matches the Rfam family "Bacterial small subunit ribosomal RNA", at positions 510 to 808 of the family's 1533-position model. The record is from RNAcentral.